Molecule: long non-coding RNA, 143 nt
Filed under: Jaculus jaculus (lesser Egyptian jerboa)
Lineage: Eukaryota; Metazoa; Chordata; Mammalia; Rodentia; Dipodidae
Description: CDKN2B antisense RNA 1 intronic convserved region (ENSJJAG00000005316.1)
Rfam family: CDKN2B antisense RNA 1 intronic convserved region
About the family: CDKN2B-AS, also known as ANRIL (antisense non-coding RNA in the INK4 locus) is a long non-coding RNA consisting of 19 exons, spanning 126.3kb in the genome, and spliced product is a 3834bp RNA. Single nucleotide polymorphisms (SNPs) which alter the expression of CDKN2B-AS are associated with many diseases, including coronary artery disease, diabetes and many cancers. It binds to chromobox 7 (CBX7) within the polycomb repressive complex 1 and to SUZ12, a component of polycomb repression complex 2 and through these interactions is involved in transciptional repression.
Source: RNAcentral
UCCUCAGACCUUACUUCCCGCCUCCUUUGUCACUGUGGAGCAACAGGAAGGAAUGUUUAUUAACAAGGCUGGCUGGGUCACACCCAAGGCAGUAUCAGCGUUUUACCUCUACUAAGUCUGGGAAGAGGUCCAAGGAUCAAGCU